RNAcentral lists this ribosomal RNA (426 nucleotides) under uncultured bacterium. Its description in RNAcentral is "bacterial SSU rRNA". It matches the Rfam family "Bacterial small subunit ribosomal RNA", at positions 359 to 775 of the family's 1533-position model. The record is from RNAcentral.
GAAUCUUGCGCAAUGGCCGAAAGGCUGACGCAGCGACGCCGCGUGCGGGAGGAAGCCCUUCGGGGUGUAAACCGCUGUCAGGGGGGACGAAGGCUCAGGGGAGGCAAUGCCCCUGAGAGGGACGGUACCCUCAGAGGAAGCACCGGCUAACUCCGUGCCAGCAGCCGCGGUAAUACGGGGGGUGCGAGCGUUGUUCGGAAUUAUUGGGCGUAAAGCGCACGUAGGCGGCCCGUUAAGUCUCAUGGUGAAAGGCCGGGGCUCAACCCCGAGCAAGCCGGGGAUACUGGGGGGCUGGAGACAGGCAGAGGCCAGCGGAAUUCCGGGUGUAGCGGUGGAAUGCGUAGAGAUCCGGAAGAACACCGGAGGCGAAGGCGGCUGGCUGGGCCUGAUCUGACGCUGAGGUGCGAAAGCGUGGGGAGCGAACAG